RNAcentral lists this ribosomal RNA (920 nucleotides) under uncultured archaeon. Its description in RNAcentral is "bacterial SSU rRNA". It matches the Rfam family "Archaeal small subunit ribosomal RNA", at positions 1 to 922 of the family's 1478-position model. The record is from RNAcentral.
UUCCGGUUGAUCCUGCCGGAGGGCCAUUGCUAUCGGAGUCCGAUUUAGCCAUGCUAGUCGCACGGGUUUAGACCCGUGGCAGAUAGCUCAGUAACACGUGGCCAAACUACCCUAUGGACCGGAAUAACCUCGGGAAACUGAGGCUAAUUCCGGAUACAGCUCUCAUGCUGGAGUGCAGAGAGCUCGAAACGUCCCGGCGCCAUAGGAUGUGGCUGCGGCCGAUUAGGUAGACGGUGGGGUAACGGCCCACCGUGCCAAUAAUCGGUACGGGUUGUGAGAGCAAGGGCCCGGAGACGGUAUCUGAGACAAGAUACCGGGCCCUACGGGGCGCAGCAGGCGCGAAACCUUUACACUGCACGACAGUGCGAUAAGGGGACUCCGAGUGCGAGGGCAUAUAGUCCUCGCUUUUCUGUACCGUAGGGAGGUACAGGAACAAGUGCUGGGCAAGACCGGUGCCAGCCGCCGCGGUAAUACCGGCAGCACGAGUGAUGGCCGAUCUUAUUGGGCCUAAAGCGUCCGUAGCUGGCCAGACAAGUCCGUUGGGAAAUCGACGUGCCUAACGCGUCGGCGUCCAGCGGAAACUGUCUGGCUUGGGACCGGAAGACCCGAGGGGUACGUCCAGGGUAGGAGUGAAAUCCCGUAAUCCUGGACGGACCACCGGUGGCGAAAGCGCCUCGGGAAGACGGAUCCGACAGUGAGGGAUGAAAGCUGGGGUCUCGAACCGGAUUAGAUACCCGGGUAGUCCCAGCUGUAAACGAUGUCCGCUAGGUGUGGCGCAGGCUACGAGCCUGCGCUGUGCCGUAGGGAAGCCGUGAAGCGGACCGCCUGGGAAGUACGUCUGCAAGGAUGAAACUUAAAGGAAUUGGCGGGGGAGCACUACAACCGGAGGAGCCUGCGGUUUAAUUGGACUCAACGCCGGG